UUCAUCGCGAGGUGAAAUCUGAAGGAAGCCGUCGGCAAACAUCUGGCCUAACGAACAGAAACUUCAUACAAGGCAUAUGACCGUGGGUAAGAUUGCUAAACAAAUCGAAGCCCUAUAGCUAUUCGGAACGGUCGGUGUAGAUGAAGUAGGUAUAAGAUGGAAAGACAACGCC
Molecule: non-coding RNA, 172 nt
Organism: Bacteroides sp. CAG:462
Lineage: Bacteria; Pseudomonadati; Bacteroidota; Bacteroidia; Bacteroidales; Bacteroidaceae
Source: Rfam